Nanorana parkeri is the source of this 140-nucleotide long non-coding RNA. RefSeq lists it as uncharacterized. The record is from RefSeq and is a predicted model, not a curated record. The transcript has 3 exons. Lineage: Eukaryota; Metazoa; Chordata; Amphibia; Anura; Dicroglossidae.
GGCAGAGGGAUUCAGGAGAGGCAGGUGACUUUUAUCCUGAGUUAUUGACUUAUGAAGAUUUCAGUAAGGAGAGUCAAUUUGUAGUUAAUCUUUUUGCUCGUGGAUCCUGUUGAAAGCUUCCAGUGCUUUCUUGUUUUAUA